RNAcentral lists this long non-coding RNA (509 nucleotides) under Zonotrichia albicollis (white-throated sparrow). RNAcentral's name for it is "lncRNA (ENSZALG00000002107.1)". The record is from RNAcentral. Lineage: Eukaryota; Metazoa; Chordata; Aves; Passeriformes; Passerellidae.
CAGGCGGUCACCGAUCUGCGGGUACAGCACGUAGCCACCGGCAUCCAGGAACCUGCGGGGACAGUGUGACAUUGUGUGUGUGUGACACUGUGUGUGUGUGACACUGUGUGUGUGUGACACUGUGGGUACAGCACGUAGCCACCGGCAUCCAGGAACCUGCGGGGACAGUGUGACAAUGGGUGUGACACUGUGACACUGUGUGUGUGACAAUGGGUGUGACACUGUGACACUGUGUGUGUGACACUGCGGGUACAGCACGUAGCCACCAUCGUCCUGGAACCUGCGGGGACAGUGUGACAAUGGGUGUGACACUGUGACACUGUGUGUGACAUUGUGUGUGUGACACUGUGUGUGACACUGUGUGUGUGACACUGCCCCCCCCGGGCACACCAGGUCCAGGCGGUCACCGAUCUGCGGGUACAGCACGUAGCCACCAUCGUCCUGGAACCUGCGGGGACAGUGUGACAAUGGGUGUGACAAUGGGUGUGACACUGUGUGUGACACUGUGA